This 820-nucleotide ribosomal RNA is filed under the name Escherichia coli. RNAcentral's name for it is "bacterial LSU rRNA". It matches the Rfam family "Bacterial large subunit ribosomal RNA", at positions 418 to 1239 of the family's 2925-position model. Lineage: Bacteria; Pseudomonadati; Pseudomonadota; Gammaproteobacteria; Enterobacterales; Enterobacteriaceae. The record is from RNAcentral. RNAcentral also lists the same sequence under 1 other name.
CGGGACACGUGGUAUCCUGUCUGAAUAUGGGGGGACCAUCCUCCAAGGCUAAAUACUCCUGACUGACCGAUAGUGAACCAGUACCGUGAGGGAAAGGCGAAAAGAACCCCGGCGAGGGGAGUGAAAAAGAACCUGAAACCGUGUACGUACAAGCAGUGGGAGCACGCUUCGGCGUGUGACUGCGUACCUUUUGUAUAAUGGGUCAGCGACUUAUAUUCUGUAGCAAGGUUAACCGAAUAGGGGAGCCGAAGGGAAACCGAGUCUUAACUGGGCGUUAAGUUGCAGGGUAUAGACCCGAAACCCGGUGAUCUAGCCAUGGGCAGGUUGAAGGUUGGGUAACACUAACUGGAGGACCGAACCGACUAAUGUUGAAAAAUUAGCGGAUGACUUGUGGCUGGGGGUGAAAGGCCAAUCAAACCGGGAGAUAGCUGGUUCUCCCCGAAAGCUAUUUAGGUAGCGCCUCGUGAAUUCAUCUCCGGGGGUAGAGCACUGUUUCGGCAAGGGGGUCAUCCCGACUUACCAACCCGAUGCAAACUGCGAAUACCGGAGAAUGUUAUCACGGGAGACACACGGCGGGUGCUAACGUCCGUCGUGAAGAGGGAAACAACCCAGACCGCCAGCUAAGGUCCCAAAGUCAUGGUUAAGUGGGAAACGAUGUGGGAAGGCCCAGACAGCCAGGAUGUUGGCUUAGAAGCAGCCAUCAUUUAAAGAAAGCGUAAUAGCUCACUGGUCGAGUCGGCCUGCGCGGAAGAUGUAACGGGGCUAAACCAUGCACCGAAGCUGCGGCAGCGACACUAUGUGUUGUUGGGUAGGGGAGCGU